This 445-nucleotide ribosomal RNA is filed under the name Oreta pulchripes. RNAcentral's name for it is "eukaryotic LSU rRNA". The record is from RNAcentral. Lineage: Eukaryota; Metazoa; Arthropoda; Insecta; Lepidoptera; Drepanidae.
CCGUUCAGGGGUAAACCUGCGAAACUCGAAUGAACGAACGGGGAGAUUCAUCGUCAUUCCGCGGCGUACCGUGCGGUGCCACGAUGUCACCGAUUUCGAUCGGGCGGCACGGGUCCGUGCGGUCGACGUUCGCGGACGGCGUGCACUUCUCCCUCAGUAAUACAUCGCGACCCGUUCGAUGUCGGUCUAAGCGCCGUUCGGGAGCCCCGUUGUGCCCUCACGGGUCGCAGCGGGACCGCGACGUGCGCCGACCGGCUGUCGUACGGUAUAAACAUUUGACGAAUCGCGCACGCGUUUCUAUGCGCGUCCGGCCCGACGCAAGGCAACGUCGUAUCCGAUUUCCUGCCCGAGUGCGGACGUUGGUGCGGCGCGCCUGUUGUCGCAGCCGUGCUGUCUCGGACAUGUGCGCGUCUCUGUCUGCGAUGAUUCAGUUUCGGGCACUCGC